AUAACCCUGAAUCAUUCAUUUUCUCUCAAUCCGACAGAAGAUCCAGUGGGGUUGACCUCUAGAAGAUCCACUGGGUUUUUCUCUAAUCGGCACAAGAUCCACUGUGGAUGACAUCUAGGCAAUGCUUGAACGGGUCUCUGACAUGAUGGAAAAGGAUUUGAUUCUUGUUGGUGCAACAGGUAUAAACCAUCUUCUCUGAGAUCGGUUGCUGCUUAUGUUAAUCCUCAUCGUCUUCUGUUCAGAUCUUGUUUUAAUACCGAUCUGCGAAAGUUUUGGAUGAUUCUGGAUUUGUUAUUGUGUUAGGAGAUGUCGUGUUCCUCAAGCCUGAACAGGGCUAUGAGGUUUUGAAGAGAGUUGUUGAUGUGAUUGGGCAAUAUGAUAGAAAAAAGCUUGAGCAAUUAAGCGGCUGCCACCUGCUGCUGUUGUUGAAGGUUUCUGUAUGCAU
Helianthus annuus (common sunflower) is the source of this 445-nucleotide long non-coding RNA. RefSeq lists it as uncharacterized. The record is from RefSeq and is a predicted model, not a curated record. NCBI's taxonomy places the organism in Eukaryota, Viridiplantae, Streptophyta, Magnoliopsida, Asterales, Asteraceae. The transcript has 6 exons.